Molecule: ribosomal RNA, 397 nt
Filed under: uncultured bacterium
Lineage: Bacteria
Description: partial 16S ribosomal RNA
Rfam family: Bacterial small subunit ribosomal RNA
Source: RNAcentral
AUACGUAGGUGGCAAGCGUUGUCCGGAUUUAUUGGGCGUAAAGCGAGCGCAGGCGGUUUCUUAAGUCUGAUGUGAAAGCCCCCGGCUCAACCGGGGAGGGUCAUUGGAAACUGGGAGACUUGAGUGCAGAAGAGGAGAGUGGAAUUCCAUGUGUAGCGGUGAAAUGCGUAGAUAUAUGGAGGAACACCAGUGGCGAAGGCGACUCUCUGGUCUGUAACUGACGCUGAGGCUCGAAAGCGUGGGGAGCAAAUAGGAUUAGAUACCCUGGUAGUCCACGCCGUAAACGAUGAGUGCUAAGUGUUGGAGGGUUUCCGCCCUUCAGUGCUGCAGCUAACGCAUUAAGCACUCCGCCUGGGGAGUACGACCGCAAGGUUGAAACUCAAAUGAAUUGACGGGG